RNAcentral lists this ribosomal RNA (863 nucleotides) under Bacillus paralicheniformis. RNAcentral's name for it is "bacterial SSU rRNA". It matches the Rfam family "Bacterial small subunit ribosomal RNA", at positions 41 to 887 of the family's 1533-position model. The record is from RNAcentral. Lineage: Bacteria; Bacillati; Bacillota; Bacilli; Caryophanales; Bacillaceae.
GGCGUGCCUAAUACAUGCAAGUCGAGCGGACAGAUGGGAGCUUGCUCCCUGAUGUCAGCGGCGGACGGGUGAGUAACACGUGGGUAACCUGCCUGUAAGACUGGGAUAACUCCGGGAAACCGGGGCUAAUACCGGAUGCUUGAUUGAACCGCAUGGUUCAAUUAUAAAAGGUGGCUUUUAGCUACCACUUACAGAUGGACCCGCGGCGCAUUAGCUAGUUGGUGAGGUAACGGCUCACCAAGGCAACGAUGCGUAGCCGACCUGAGAGGGUGAUCGGCCACACUGGGACUGAGACACGGCCCAGACUCCUACGGGAGGCAGCAGUAGGGAAUCUUCCGCAAUGGACGAAAGUCUGACGGAGCAACGCCGCGUGAGUGAUGAAGGUUUUCGGAUCGUAAAACUCUGUUGUUAGGGAAGAACAAGUACCGUUCGAAUAGGGCGGUACCUUGACGGUACCUAACCAGAAAGCCACGGCUAACUACGUGCCAGCAGCCGCGGUAAUACGUAGGUGGCAAGCGUUGUCCGGAAUUAUUGGGCGUAAAGCGCGCGCAGGCGGUUUCUUAAGUCUGAUGUGAAAGCCCCCGGCUCAACCGGGGAGGGUCAUGGAAACUGGGGAACUUGAGUGCAGAAGAGGAGAGUGAAUUCCACGUGUAGCGGUGAAAUGCGUAGAGAUGUGGAGGAACACCAGUGGCGAAGGCGACUCUCUGGUCUGUAACUGACGCUGAGGCGCGAAAGCGUGGGGAGCGAACAGGAUUAGAUACCCUGGUAGUCCACGCCGUAAACGAUGAGUGCUAAGUGUUAGAGGGUUUCCGCCCUUUAGUGCUGCAGCAAACGCAUUAAGCACUCCGCCUGGGAGUACGGUC